Molecule: long non-coding RNA, 2006 nt
Filed under: Lupinus mutabilis
Lineage: Eukaryota; Viridiplantae; Streptophyta; Magnoliopsida; Fabales; Fabaceae
Description: partial ncRNA
Source: RNAcentral
CAUGGAAUUUGGAGAGAUUGUGGUGAAGUUUAAUAUUUUUGAUGCUAUGAAGCAUCCAUAUGAAGAUCAUUUUGUAUUUCAUGUUGAUUUGCAUGAUAAACUAACCAAUGACCAUAUCUCUAAUCCCCUUUAUGAUUUUAAUGUUUCAUCAUUCAUAGACUCAUACACUUCUAAUGCAUGCAAUAAUUCUAAAGUAUGUAGUUUUUAUGUUGUUGAAUCUUUAAAUAUUGUUGUUGAUAAAACUAUUGUAGAAUCAUGUUAUGCUAACACAAUUGCUAGAGGAAGGACACAACAAUUUGAUUAAAUUGUUGAGGUACAAGCUAUAGAAUUAAUGUAUGCUCCUUUAGUUCCAUAUGUUUUGCAGGCACCUAUACUGCAGAUUAGAACUUUCUAUACAAGUCAUUCAUCAUUGGAUGCAACUAUGGAGGGAUUCUUCAUGCCUAUACUCAUUCUUUUUCCUCCAUGAAUUAGGGAGUUUUCUUUGUCUCUUUCUUUACUUUUAUUACACUUGUCAAAUUCUACUGAUUGAUAUGUAUGUCUCUAUCUUUCGAUUGUACAACAUUGGGGACAAAGUGUAGUUUAAGUGUGAGGGACUAAUUAGAAGAAGUUUGAAGGUUUAUGUUAUUGCAUGUUUUCUUUGUUUUUUUUUAGGUUUAUGUUAUUGCAUUCUUUUCCAUGAAUUUUUUAGGUUUUGCUUAAGUAGUGGGCAUUUUCUCUUAUGCUUUCUCUAAUUUAUGUCAUAAUAUUUGUGAUGUGAACCCAUGCAUUUUAGUAUGUCAAGUUAUUUUUGAGAAUUAAGAGGUUAAAGCAAAUAUGGUAGACUUGUCCCUUGUGGUAUAUCUUAUGAUGUGAACCCAUGCAUUUUCUCUUAUACUUUUUAUAUGUCAUAUAAUAUUUUCUUCAUGUGUGACUGCACUCUGGAUUACCUACCCUAUAGAACUUGACUUGUUUCUUGUUAAUACUUGAUAUUCAUAUGCACAUAUUGAAAUGAUGUAGGCAUUUCUUUCAAAUAAGCCACUAGCCAUAUAAGCCGACCUUAAAAGAAUUUAUCCUUUGACAACCCCUUUGAGCCUUUUUACCCCUUUCUUUGUUCUUUAGCUCAUUACAAGUUUAUAAGUGAAAAACCAUAAUUGUCAUAACCUUAGGAAAUUUUGGAGCUUUGGAAUUGUUUUGGGAAUGGGUAUUAAGUAAAAAGGUGUUUUGCUCUUCAUUUUUUUUUUUUUGAGUUCUUAGUUUUUUCAUUGGUUGGUUGAUACUAAUGCAUAAAUAAAAUGUGGUACUCAUUCAAAAAAAAAUCAAUCAAAUAAAUGAUUCUGUGGGACAAGCAAGGAAGAUUGGAAGGAGAAUUUGUAUUCCUUAUUUUUGAGAUUGAUUUCAUUUACUUUAUGCUUAUUCUCCAUUGCUCCGCUAUUUUCUUUGGUCUUAAGCUACAUAUCCUAUAUUUUAUCCCACAUUGUCAUUGGCCCCAUUACAACCUUGAAAAUUCCUUUUGAUCUUUUAUGUUCAUAUGUUUUGAAGGUUAAUGUUAGAAACUUGUCAAGCCUAUGGUGGUGUAUGUUUUUCAUGAAGUGUCUUGAGUGUAAACACUUGCAAACUAAACGCUUGAGUGCAAACAAUUUACAGAGAGUAUAUCUUAUGAGGUUCUAUCAUAGUUAUGACCUGCCUCUUGAUUUGAUUGGUUUCUUUGCAUACUUAAAAUGUUUGGAUAAUAUUGAUAGAUACUUUGAUUCAUUUUCUAUUUGUGUAUUUGAGUUUGCCCACUUUUUUGCAGUGCCUUGAAUUCAUUGUGAAGUAUGUGAUUUUCUUAGGAUUUGCAUUCUCAAGUUUUUUUUCUUACAUGACUCACUUUUGUGCAUAUUCAUUAGCAUAGACAUGUUUCUUGAUUUUGCCAAGGAGUGCAAAAGGUUAAGUGUGGGGGUAUUUGAUGAACAAUAUAUUGCACCUUAUUCACAACCUUAUUUUACCAUUAUUAAUGAUCUUUGAUACUUAUUUGAAUUUGUUUAGCA